UUUCUGUAGUGAAACUUUUUAAUGAAGCUCAAUGUAUAAUCACAACAAACUAUAACACAAAACUUUUAAAAUUCUGAUCUCACAAUGUAAAAAAUAAACUAUACAUUGAUUAUAAAUGUGGUUCGUGUAUAUAAAUAACAUUGGUCAUACACAUAUAACAAUUUGUGUUUACAACAAUUUGAUUAACUUUGAUUAAUCAUUGAUUUAUGAGAUUAACAAUGUCAAUAAUCACCGUUUCCUAAAUGUAAAACAUUUCCCAUAUCAGUUUCAAAGGAUUGAACGACAUAUUCUGCUGAACAUAUGCACUCUCUUCAAGUGAAAUAAUACAAUGAAAACAACUUAAAACAAAAACUUUAUAAUAUUUCAAGGCAUUAUUUAAUUUCAUACAUGUACAAGAAUUAAAUUUAGUGAUGCUUUUCUUACUUAUUCAUUCCCAAAUGACAUCUAAUAUUUUUACUGUAUUUUGCAUUCUACAAACACAAAGGUAUGGAUUUUAAUCUUUGACCCCAUCAAAUUGUUGACUGUAUUUAGAAAGGUUGUCUGAAAAGGUUUUUUUAAUCUAUCUGUUUUAAUUGGUGGGAGAUUGGGCAUUGAAUGUUGGUAUAUUGUGCUCCCCAAAUCUGUACAAUUAUUUUGUUGAUUUCUUUUUUUUUCUUUUUUGCAAAUAAUGUCACCAUAUUUCUGUUUAGUCAGAAAUUGAAGUCAGACCAAAUCUCAACAAAAGCAUUUCACAGUCAGCAAAAGUUUACUCAAACAAUUUCUUAGAACAGCAUUUGAUAUAUACUAUUUUGGCACAUGUCUUAGUUUCCUUUUUUUUGGAAAAUAUCAAUAAUUAUAAUUUUAUUGAAUUUCAUUAAAAAAAAUAAUUUUGAAAGCAUGUAGAUAAAUUUUUCAUAUUAACUUUUUUAACUGUUUUAACAUUUCUUUUAUUAACUUUUGAUUUUAUUUGUUUUAUAUAUUACAAAUAACUAUGUUUUAAAACUAAAAAAAAAUUUCCAUAGCCUAAAAAUAUAUUUAAACACUUGUUUUGCCAAUUAUCACUAAAUGCAACGAUAAAGACAAGAGACAACUCUUGCACAUACAUAAAUGGGAAACAAUUUUUACAAAUUUGUUCCCAUACAACCCUUCUUACUAGUAAAAAUACUACAUCAAUUCUAACAUCUUAGAUGUCAUAAAAAAUGAAUACUGUAUAAACUUACAAAGCACUUAUGUAUAAGAUGUACAAGAAAUAUCAUUAUAAUAUGAAUAUGUCUAUAAACAGCAAGAGUCCCAUGAAUACUGUAUAUAAGAUGUAUAAUAGAUGUCAUUAUAAUAUGUCUUAAGUUUUUUAACAGCAAGAAUUCCUUAUUACAAUCUAUUCCUUUCUAUGGAGCCCUCAGAAGCCCUACCUCUUGAAAUCUAUAAAGCACUUAUGUAUAAAAUAUACAAUCAAAGUCAUGAGAUAGAUACAUAAUGGGACGUAUUUUGAUUUUUCAUCAUUACAGCUAAUUUACUCAAGUAUGUGCACAGAACAAUGAGGUUAAAGUGACCUAUUUGCAAGAUAAACCAUCAAAUAAAUUUAUAUUUCUUUAUUUGCUUAAAGAGUAACAAUAGUUUUUACAAUUUUUACAAGUCGUUCAAAUCACAGAAUAUAUUACAACAGAAUGACCAAGAAAUCUGCCUCGUUAUGUACAAUACCAAACUUUUAAGAAAUUGUAGUUCACCUUACAAACGUCAAGUACACUUAAUUUUAAUGGUUUAAGUACACACUCAAUUAGUUCAGCUGUAAGUGUCCGUCCUGGAAACAACCAAUGAAUUAGGGCUAUUUCAUGAAAAAAGUAUAUGCACGAUUGCAUGGCACUUGAAAUGUAUAAAUGGGUAGAGGUAAAAAAUUACAAAUUGUAAGCAAAGUAAAAUGCAUUUUAGAGGUGAUGACCAUAAAAAGGAAACUACCCCAUCCCUCCCCUUCCCCACUUAUUGUUUUUCUUUUUCUGGAAUAGCCCUGAUUAUAAUAUUUACUAAAUCUAAAUAAAGAUUUCUCUGGUAAAUCCAAUAACAUCCAUUUGGAAGAAUUGCUCCCAAGAAAGAUUUUAAAACAAAUCAAAUUGGAUGCGUGAAAUAUGUGUACAGACUCGCAAGGAACCUUCACAAAAAUCACUACCAAGAUUCAUUUUUAGAGCAAAUCCUCAUAGAUAAAUUAUUCCUAACAAAUUGACUUGUACAUGUAUGAACCUAUCACAUUACUUUAAUUGUACAUAUCAAAAUGGAAUUCAGUAACUAUAUAAUUAACAUAAUUUAACAGCUGUCUGAUAUGGUUUGUUUUCCUGGUCUACAUCACACAUUCUAAGGAAUAUAAAUAUAUAUCAUCUGUAUCUCUGAAUUAUUCCAUCUUCAACUCAUCUGCAAAAUAAAUUAUUU
Molecule: long non-coding RNA, 2397 nt
Filed under: Mytilus galloprovincialis (Mediterranean mussel)
Lineage: Eukaryota; Metazoa; Mollusca; Bivalvia; Mytilida; Mytilidae
Source: RNAcentral